CAAUAGCGUAUAUUAAAGUUGUUGCAGUUAAAAGCUCGUAGUUGGAUUUCUGGGAGGGUGCCAAUGUCCGCCGAAGCGCGUGCGCAGCGGCGCCCUUCCAUCCUUCUGUUAACGCCUCUUGGCAUUCAUUUGCUGGUGGCGGGCUCAGAUAUUUUACCUUUGAGAAAAUUAGAGUGUUUCAGGCAGGCUAGGCCGGAAUACAUUAGCAUGGAAUAAUGGAAUAGGACUACGGUCUCUUUGUUGGUUUGAGGGACUGCAGUAAUGAUUAAUAGGGAUAGUUGGGGCGAUUAGUAUUUAAUUGUCAGAGGUGGAAUUCUCGGAUUUGUUUAAAGAACUAACUUAUGCGAAAGACAUUUGUCCAAGGAAUGUUUUCUA
RNAcentral lists this ribosomal RNA (375 nucleotides) under uncultured eukaryote. RNAcentral's name for it is "SSU rRNA". It matches the Rfam family "Eukaryotic small subunit ribosomal RNA", at positions 592 to 973 of the family's 1831-position model. The record is from RNAcentral.